Molecule: ribosomal RNA, 253 nt
Filed under: uncultured bacterium
Lineage: Bacteria
Description: partial 16S ribosomal RNA
Rfam family: Bacterial small subunit ribosomal RNA
Source: RNAcentral
UACGUAGGUGGCAAGCGUUGUCCGGAAUUAUUGGGCGUAAAGCGCGCGCAGGCGGUCCUUUAAGUCUGAUGUGAAAGCCCACGGCUCAACCGUGGAGGGUCAUUGGAAACUGGGGGACUUGAGUGCAGGAGAGAAGAGUGGAAUUCCACGUGUAGCAGUGAAAUGCGUAGAGAUGUGGAGGAACACCAGUGGCGAAGGCGACUCUUUGGCCUGUAACUGACGCUGAGGCGCGAAAGCGUGGGGAGCGAACAGG